RNAcentral lists this ribosomal RNA (208 nucleotides) under uncultured bacterium. RNAcentral describes it as "partial 16S ribosomal RNA". It matches the Rfam family "Bacterial small subunit ribosomal RNA", at positions 568 to 774 of the family's 1533-position model. The record is from RNAcentral.
CGUGUAGGCGGUUGUACAGGUCAUGUGUGAAACCUGCCGGCUCAACUGGCAGCCUGCACCUGAAACUGUAUGACUUGAGUACGGGAGAGGAGAGUGGAAUUCCUGGUGUAGCGGUGGAAUGCGUAGAUAUCAGGAAGAACACCGGGAGGCGAAGGCGGCUCUCUGGCCCGAGACUGACGCUGAAGCGCGAAAGCUAGGGGAGCAAACA